This is a long non-coding RNA of Micropterus salmoides (largemouth bass), 806 nucleotides long. RefSeq lists it as uncharacterized. The transcript is spliced from 2 exons. The record is from RefSeq and is a predicted model, not a curated record. NCBI's taxonomy places the organism in Eukaryota, Metazoa, Chordata, Actinopteri, Centrarchiformes, Centrarchidae.
AGAUGAAUGGUGAUGAACUACACUGUUCUUGGCGGGAGAACAUAACAAACUGGAGGAUCAAAGGGGUUUGGGACUGUGCCAAGAUGAAAUAUGAUGUUGCUGUGCUGAAGUGCUUCAUGUUGGAUGUAAUUCACCGCAAGCCCAGGGAAAACCACCAGUUAUUGAGCACUGAGCAGUUGAGAAGAGUCCUGGCGAAGUAGGAUGAGGCGAUGGAACUCACGGGGGAUUAUGGCGGAUUGCAUCCUUUGUGUUGGCGAAAGUUUGCUGCCCAACUCAACUUGCUUGUCAUGCUGGUCCACACAAUGUGCUGUUGUGAUUUGGGAGGUUUGCCCGUCAGCUCCUCUGCAAGCCUCUGUGACUUUACCCAUAACAACAUUUUCUGCUUAGAUUCACAGAGACAGACAGAGUUUUUUGGUGAAGCAUAAUACCAGUUUUGGGGACUAGGUGAGAAGGAGUAAGACGUCCAGAGGAAACUAGGAGAAGACGCACCUUAAAAUCGAAAAGGUGACCAGGACUAAAAAUAGCAACUUGAGGAUUGUUUAAUUUAAAAUAAUUGUUUUUUUUCAUCUUGACAUAUUGAACUUUGCAUUUUUUCACUGCACUGAAUUGAGAAUGUCUACUGAAUAACCAAGGCAAUGAUACCUUUUUCCUCAUAAAGGAAAUGUUUUUCCAUGAUAAUUAGGUCAUCCUAUGUUACUGUUUAGAAGCUGCAUCCAGACGCGCUGUAACCUUUUGUAAGGAUGUUUAUUCAAAUAGCUCCGCGGUAGAUAUUGUAAAAUCAAGAUUAAAUUGUUCAGUUUAACACA